UGAGUUCACAAUUGUAACACUUGGAGGUUCACGGCUGUUUCUUACUGAGAAGAGAGCACAGACUCUGUAAAACUCCCUCCUUGUCCGUCUCACAUUACUUUCAAGAAACGCAGCUUCAGCUCCAGAUCAUCAAAGCCCCACAAAAACUGCGAAGGAAGAAGGCACUCGAAGCUGAACACAAACUGCUAGAUUCAGAGGACACUGCCCCAGCUGUGAGUUAAUGACCACUAAGGAUUACAGGCUAUAUGAACAGGAACAGCUUCUUUCCUUUUUUCCCUGCUGGCAUGUGAGCUGUAAAAGGGACUAACAAGG
This 312-nucleotide long non-coding RNA is filed under the name Sus scrofa (pig). RNAcentral's name for it is "lncRNA (ENSSSCG00055006707.1)". The record is from RNAcentral. Lineage: Eukaryota; Metazoa; Chordata; Mammalia; Artiodactyla; Suidae.